This is a long non-coding RNA of Camellia sinensis, 412 nucleotides long. RefSeq lists it as uncharacterized. The record is from RefSeq and is a predicted model, not a curated record. NCBI's taxonomy places the organism in Eukaryota, Viridiplantae, Streptophyta, Magnoliopsida, Ericales, Theaceae.
AAAUUAGCCCUUUCAUUCUUUACACCGCUCAACUUUGGAAGGGAAAAGUGAGAAGCAGCAGCAAGGAAGACGAGGGGUCCAACGCAGAGAAGGCGAGUGGUUCGGACGGCGGGAGGGGUUCGAACGGCGUUGUGGUCUGUGUUACCGGCGUGGACGAUUGAACUCAUUCUUCUCAUUUGCCAAAGAUUGGCAAUGGAUGGAACGUAAUUUGGGGAGCGUUAGAGGAUUACAUUUUAAAUUUUUGGAUAUAUUGUCAUGGGAUUUUGUAGCUUGGAAGUUUUUUAGAAUCAUUAUGUACAUGUUUGAAGUUUCUAAUUGUAAGGAAUUUACUUACGUUUAUGUUUAAUAUGCUACUACUUUUGAUUAAGUUUAUAGUUUGGAUGCUUUGAACUAUGUAUUAAUUUUUUUUUAA